Molecule: long non-coding RNA, 2177 nt
Filed under: Daphnia pulicaria
Lineage: Eukaryota; Metazoa; Arthropoda; Branchiopoda; Diplostraca; Daphniidae
Description: uncharacterized LOC124344341, transcript variant X1
Source: RNAcentral
AUCCCUUGAAGACAUUGUUUUAUAAGAUUUUCUAAAAAAAGGAUUUGAGAGAAACAAUUGUGCUGUGCAGUGCCUGGGAAACCAAGAUAUAAAUUUCGUAUCAUCUUCAGUCCAGUUGGAUAGGUACAUUUCAGAAUGUUUUUUGUUUAAGAGAGAGAUUAGUAUCAUUAUACCAUCUCUCUCUGGUUCCAAAGUUGCUUCACAUUUGCUGAUUUCAGUUUAACACAUUGCUGUGUGUUGGCACCGAAAUGACACACUUGUAUCAGGAUACUUUGGAGGACAACUUUGUUUUGGGAAUUUUUCUGGAGGUGACAGCCGAAGACGUGUUCUCAGUUAUUGAUUCACUAUUGUUCCAUCCCUAGUGAAAGGCUGCUUGUCAGAGCCACCUGCCAGCCUUGUUUUCUGUUAUUAGGAUAUUUCCCAAUAUUUUACCAAAUGCAGCUAAUGAAAAGCAAACUCGCGGAUGAGAAUCUGCAGGUCUUCUGCAAUGUCGACAGUCGUACUCUGAACACGAACUAAUCGCAGUCUUCAAGAACAGGAGAUUAAGAUUCCUCCUGGCAAAGUGGAGCUUCACUCGAUCAAGAUGCACGAAUGAGAAUUCAGCUUCUCAGUCGAUACAUUGAAAAUAUGUAGCGCUUUUGCCGUUCUUGUCUGGAAAUGACUCGCAACGGCGUCGAGUCCAUCGAUUUCAGCAAAUCCGACGCCUUCUGUAGGAUCCGAUACUGUCUUGGCCGCUGAUGAAUCCUAUCGUCUACGUCUUCGAAUCCUACCGUCUACGCCAGUUGACCUCCCACAUUCUAGUCAUCAUCAAUCUGACGAUCUUGCCAUGCCACCAAUAAUCGUGAAGCAGGAGCAUGAGCCGGGAACAGCAACAGGGGUCCAAUCCUUGAAAGUGAUUUGAAGUUCCAAAGCAGAUGUCGAAUUGCCGUGAGAUUGCGAGCUUAUUCGCCCAUUCAAUACCUCCGAUUCACCAAUUAUUUGUUUUGCCCUUUGCGUCUCAUUGUGCUUCAACAUGACCGCGAUACUCCGACGCAAUUUUGUUGCCGGAAGGAUUCCACAUUCCCCAUUCGGAAAUUGAGCCUUAAUUAGAAUGGCACCACCAAUCAAUCCGGUCAAACAGAUUGAUCCACAGCCGGGAACUUCGAUUACCUCAUUGAAAUUGAAUUUACUGAUUUGAAAUUUAAGGAAAUUUAGAUUGAAUCCAAGUUUAGAUCGAAUUCUUUCGAAUGCUAGCGAUGUUCUACUUCACACCGGACUGCCGCAUUCUCCACUGGCAUAGACUUUAAAACCAAUGAGAUCCUUUCCGACUAAUCACUUGACAAAUCCACAUCGGAAGCCGCUGCUCCUGUCAAUCUUGAAAAGGGAUAGUUUACCGGUAAGGAUCAUUUGUGCUUAUGGUAAUAUGGAGGUGACGUCUUUUGAUGGGGCACCUGGAGUCACAUUUUCGGCCUCAGCGGCAGACAAUGCCAUCAGUAGUAGUAGCUACGUAUCGUCCGUAGGCCUCUAAUGAUCUUCACAGCAUCCGCCGUUGGAGAGCCAGAAGACUUUGAAAGAGCUCGUUCUUUCGAUUCGACGAGUCUAGGACUUGACAUCAGAGAUUGACGACGAGAGAACACCAAACUGGAUGGAAGAAGAAUAAGAUCCAGGAAGCAAAGAAAAUAACUGGACAGACUGCUUCAAAACGCUGAACGGAAGAAGAUUGCGAGCAAGACCGACAUCAAAUAGAUUUAUUAUAUUUUAAAAAUUUGAAGUGCAUAUUUGGGCUCCCUUCUUUCCAAUGCCCCGUUUCCCCUGUGACUGAAUAUAUUUGCCCUUGUUGUGUCACUCCAUCGCUGUGAGGUUGGGAGGGCUCUGCUCGAACGGAGACCAUGUGGAAGUCCUGCUCCAGAUCCGAGCAGGGAUCCGGGGCUAGCCAUGCACCUCCUAGUAAGAAUAUUCGCUCCCGUAAAACUUACCUCGAAACUCUUGGUUAAUUUCGGUUUAGUCUUAACCAAGUGCCACCCAGGCAAUUACAGAAGUCGGCCCUCUACUCAAAGUAGUGGUCACCCCCCCACUAUUUUGAUGGGACGCAACUAAAAUUGAACUUUGGUCUUGAACCGGACGCUCUUUUUAUUGAAUUAAAACGACAUUUUUGUAAAACAAAGCCAUAGUAAUAAAUUUAACCAGUUUUUUUUUAA